This is a long non-coding RNA of Amaranthus tricolor (Joseph's coat), 756 nucleotides long. RefSeq lists it as uncharacterized. Lineage: Eukaryota; Viridiplantae; Streptophyta; Magnoliopsida; Caryophyllales; Amaranthaceae. The transcript is spliced from 3 exons. The record is from RefSeq and is a predicted model, not a curated record.
CCUUGCUCAUCCUCAUGGCUUCCUCCAUAUCUUUCUUCUUCAUCUCUGAUCCUCAACACCAAGAAGCUGUAAGCAGCAACUGCACACAGCCACCGCCGGCCAGCCGUAGCAGCGGUGCUGCCCCCCACGCGUGCCUCUCCCUCUUCUUCCCACAUUUUUGUGCUCAAUUCAUAAGAGAAGCUUAAGAACCUCACAUUUAGUGGUUGCGAUAGUUUUUGUCUUGCAGUUGUAAUGACAGGAGCACUACUGCAAAUUAGAAGUGGAAGCAAUAAGAAUGGGCGAAGUACCUGAUCACUCUAAAAUUUAUGUUGAGGCGAUUAUGGAGGUAAAUAAAAAUAAAAAAAUGCCUUCUUUUCCAGGCUAUUAUGGUUUGGGGUCUGCCAAUAAACUACCCUAAUCUAUUUGAGAACCGUUUCACCCCUCGAGAAGAUUGCGCUACGCAAGAUGAAAUGAGGACGCAUCUUUCCGAGCUUCAGCGAUAUAUGCAUGAAUUUCGCGUAUUCAUGCAAGCUCAACUCGACGAGAACAACCCUACUCGAGAAAAUAUAAGAGAAAUGCGGGGGCGCUUACAAGCUCUCGAAGAAACUUACCAGCAAUUACGGAUGCAUUACAAGGGGAAAGCAGUAAUGCAGGCCGUGGUUCAGGAGUAGGUGGUCGUCAAGGUUGGGGUGAUGAUAUGGGUAGUAGCCCAGGUGGAUUGGGCGGUUCUCGGGGAUCACAUAACACCCGCGGUGGUGGUAGGCGAUCUAGUCGUGG